UUCUAGUCCUGGAGAGGAAAACUAUGAAGACAGACAAGGAGAUAAUAGUCAGGGCUGUCUAAUUGUAAUAAAAUGAAGCCUGUUUCUUUGUGAUGUCUGUCCUCAGAUAUGGAGAGCUGUGAAAGCCUGUCUGCAGAUGAAGAGGUCCCAAUGAAUGUCCCAAGAGACUGCUGCCACAUCCUUGUAUGCCAUGGGUUGAAUGUAUACCAACCCAAGCUCCAACCACUGAACAAUCCUCUUUCUCUCCAACUGCUGAGCCUGUUCAGACUGACAACACAGUCCAAGGUUCUGAGAGGGGCAAGGAGAAGGACACCAUGAGAUGGGGGAGAACAUUCUUCUACCUGCCAAAAAUUGGUAAUGCAGUGCUCUUCCUCCUGUGCACCAUCAUUGCUGUUGUGAAGUUCAGGGCAAACUGACUCUGUGGUGAA
Molecule: long non-coding RNA, 428 nt
Organism: Coregonus clupeaformis (lake whitefish)
Lineage: Eukaryota; Metazoa; Chordata; Actinopteri; Salmoniformes; Salmonidae
Exons: 3
Source: RefSeq, a predicted model, not a curated record